RNAcentral lists this ribosomal RNA (549 nucleotides) under uncultured bacterium. RNAcentral describes it as "bacterial SSU rRNA". It matches the Rfam family "Bacterial small subunit ribosomal RNA", at positions 356 to 896 of the family's 1533-position model. The record is from RNAcentral.
AGGGAAUCUUCCGCAAUGGGCGAAAGCCUGACGGAGCAACGCCGCGUGAGUGAUGAAGGUCUUCGGAUCGUAAAACUCUGCUAUUAGGGAAGAACAUAUGUGUAAGUAACUGUGCACAUCUUGACGGUACCUAAUCAGAAAGCCACGGCUAACUACGUGCCAGCAGCCGCGGUAAUACGUAGGUGGCAAGCGUUAUCCGGAAUUAUUGGGCGUAAAGCGCGCGUAGGCGGUUUUUUAAGUCUGAUGUGAAAGCCCACGGCUCAACCGUGGAGGGUCAUUGGAAACUGGAAAACUUGAGUGCAGAAGAGGAAAGUGGAAUUCCAUGUGUAGCGGUGAAAUGCGCAGAGAUAUGGAGGAACACCAGUGGCGAAGGCGACUUUCUGGUCUGUAACUGACGCUGAUGUGCGAAAGCGUGGGGAUCAAACAGGAUUAGAUACCCUGGUAGUCCACGCCGUAAACGAUGAGUGCUAAGUGUUAGGGGGUUUCCGCCCCUUAGUGCUGCAGCUAACGCAUUAAGCACUCCGCCUGGGGAGUACGACCGCAAGGUUG